AUCUUCCUUCCAAUGAGGAGGGAAAGGGAGCCAUUUAUCACAAUUUCUUCAAUAUGGAUCCUCAUAAAUGUGACUUAUACCAGUACCUCCUCAGGCUAUUGUUCCAUCCAUUUGUGCUGCAGAUGGCUUUCAUAUGGUCUUAGUCUGACAAAGCUAGGUGCUAAGAAAGAACAGCUUUGAAGUGCAAUAGUUAUUGAUGCACAUGUCUCUGAAGAUAACUUCCAACAAGGCCCUAAAUACACUUCCAAUACGCCUGAGAUGAUUUCAGUCAAAUUUAAGCGCAGGUAGGCUAUCCAAUGUUCAAUGCAUGUGUUAAGUGCUUUGAGGCACCUUAGGCUUAGCUUCGUUCUUUCUUAGAGUUGUCGAACUAUAGUCUCCAGUGCUCCCCUCGCCUAUAUCAGUUGUCUACCCCUGUACUCUUGACUCCCUCUGUCUUUCAUUCAUCCAGGUUACGCCAAUGUUCUGCGCAUACAGUUGCUGCUUUUUGGUGCGCACACACCCCAGGCACUCCACCUCGUCAACGCCUGAGAAGUUGGUGAAAGUGCCUCCUGCCAGACUUGCUGGAUGGCUACUACCUGCACUUGCUAGCUGAACGGAAGCUCUUCCAACUAGCUGGCAUGGCUAUCGGCGGCUUACGCGUGGGACGCUGCAGACGCAAUCAUCGCCAGCCUCACACAUGUCGAAAAUCAGGCAGACUACAUCAGCUGCUCACUGAUAUGGGCCAAAGAAGGCUCGUUGCUGGCGGUGGUUCUGGAGACAACGGUUCGAUCCAUCUGUAGGACGUCACUCGGCAAGAAGUUGUGGAGUGUGAUGGUCAUCCACGCGGCGCGCGUAUCCAGUCACGUUGUCCAGAAACGAUCACAUUAUCUCCAGGUCACUCCGUGACUUGCCGGCGCUCGAGCUGACGGUGUCGCCCGAACGAAGGUUUCACGGCGACAAGUGCUGCCACCGCCUGAGACCAUCCGACUCCGAAAUGCUGAUUGCCGGGCACGAACAAGAGGCUACAGGCAUUUGGGUGCAACACCUGCUCCGAGUGCCCUGUUCUGAGGCGUCAUCCGAAGAAGGCCGCAUAGUGCACUUAAGGCUGUGUUCGGGUGUAGUGCACUGCACUGUCGGAUAGGAUUAAAUGGCAGGCCCGUCAUAAGAUCUCAGUACGAAAUUAAGAUAGUCAGAGCCGACGUGAUCGGUGGAUGGUGUGCCAGGGUUGAUUGAGCGUCCAUGAGCGUGAGACACCUGGAUCUGUGAAGGAUACGCCGAUACGUGUCCCGGAUUCGACCCCCCUCUCCCUCCGUCUCAACGGUGUUGGCUGAGAUUGGGGUAUUUUUACGGACUCGCCAAUGUCCUGCAAUUUCUGUUAUGUAAUUUGACGAUCAUGCCGUGGUCUCAUUCUGUCUCGAUAUGCUAAUAAAUGAUAAAUGUAACAGAGGUUGGAAGUAAGGUGUGAGUGGCUGUAACCGGCAGGUUUUGGCGAGCGUGAUAUUUGUAUCGUGAGGGCGCUAGCAGCUGCAAUCAAUCGCGCGUUUUUGCUGAGCAUCCGUGAGCGAGAAAAUGCCUUUUCUGGAACCUAGCAGUUCAGCGUGAAAUCUGUGUAUCUUUGGAUUAUGUUAUCAUAACGUAAUGUAUUUUUGGUGUCCACUGCAGCUUCGGAACAUAAAUAUGGAGAUUGGCUGUUUGCUGAAGCAAGGGUAAGCAAUCCGUGCCAAGAAUAAUGUGAAUUUAAGUGUGUAUUUCGCUGUGUUUUCCAAUUGUGUUACACAAAACACAGAAAUGCGUCAACUACUGAUAACACCCGGCUACAAAUACUAAAAUGCUUGCAAUGCUAUACAAGAAUAGA
This is a long non-coding RNA of Amphibalanus amphitrite, 1834 nucleotides long. RefSeq lists it as uncharacterized. NCBI's taxonomy places the organism in Eukaryota, Metazoa, Arthropoda, Thecostraca, Balanomorpha, Balanidae. The record is from RefSeq and is a predicted model, not a curated record. The transcript has 3 exons.